RNAcentral lists this ribosomal RNA (250 nucleotides) under uncultured prokaryote. Its description in RNAcentral is "partial 16S rRNA". It matches the Rfam family "Bacterial small subunit ribosomal RNA", at positions 525 to 775 of the family's 1533-position model. The record is from RNAcentral.
ACGUAGGGGGCAAGCGUUAUCCGGAAUUAUUGGGCGUAAAGAGUGCGUAGGUGGUUUUUUAAGCGUGAGGUGAAAGGCAAUAGCUUAACUAUUGUAAGCCUUGCGAACGGGAAGACUUGAGUGCAGAAGAGGAAAGUGGAAUUCCUAGUGUGGCGGUGAAAUGCGUAGAUAUUAGGAGGAACGCCAGUAGCGAAGGCGAGUUUCUGUAUUGUAACUGACACUGAGGCACGAGAGCGUGGGGAGCAAACAG